Molecule: long non-coding RNA, 1946 nt
Organism: Equus asinus (donkey)
Lineage: Eukaryota; Metazoa; Chordata; Mammalia; Perissodactyla; Equidae
Source: Ensembl
AGAAAAGUGAUCAGGACCACUCCCGAUGCAUGGCUUCCCCAUCUCUUCCUGGGUAGGCCCUCUUGGGGAAAUAUCCCCACCUCUGUACCCAUGAUUGAGUCUUUAGGCAUAGAUAUCUUACUAAAGGAAUUUUUUGCUACCCUCCAUUCUUAGGGUUGUGACUUUCAGAGGAGAAAAUUCUCAGAACAGAUUAAAGCAGGUUAAACUCCAAGUUGCCAAUUUUCAUUGCAUAAGAAAUGAUUUCAUCAAGAACAUUGUGAUGAUACUCUUUAAAUAUUUAAUUGAGUAUGUAUUUAUACUUUCUAUACCCUUAUGUUAAAUAUCCUGUUACAGGAAAUGUUAAGAGUGGGAGAAAGGAAAAGGAUCUACUUAGUCAUUUCCUUUAGGCUUAAACUAUUUUCCAUCUUGAAAACACAAAUAGUAACAAUAUUCCAUGGUGCCUAACUUCUUUAGAAAAUCAUAUAUAAAAAUAUACAUAUAUAUGUGUGUAUGUGUGUAUUAUAUAUAUAGAAAUGUUCUUGGGUACCAUUUAAAUUUCUGGUUAUUUUUUCUUUAUAGUACAUUUGAAUGUUCCAAGUACAACCAUCAUUUUAUUUAACAACCAUUUAUUAAGCAACUACUGAGUUGCAAGUGCCACUGUAGAUAUACAUAAACAAAUAAAAUACAGUCCUGUCUUUUCAUAAAGGCUUUUAAUCUAGUGAGAUGGGGGUUACUGGGUUGAGUAGUGUCUCUCCAAAAUUAAUAUCUAUCUGAACCUCACAAUGCAACCUUAUUUGGAAAUAGGGUCUUUGCAGAUUUAAUUAAUUAAAUUAAGAUGAGGUUAGACUGGAUUAGGGCGAGCCAGGAAUGCCAAGGAUGGUGAGCAACUAUGAAGAGCAGGAGAAGGAAGGAAGAACGCCCUUACAGAGCUUUCAGAGAGAGCACAGCUCUGUAUAACACCUUGAUUGCAGACUUCUGGCUCCAGAAUGCUUCUUCCUGCAGAGCAUCCCCUCAGUAAAUCAUGGCACCUGAAUCUCCAUCUUGGACUCUGCUUCUGAAAACUGAACAUGAAACAGUAUAAGUCCAGAUUCUAAGUUCAUAGAGCUAUGAAGAUAUUGUGUGCAGAGGAAGAACGUUUCCUGUUUGAGUGGACUUCAUUGCCCAUCCAUGCUGUGAUGGUAUUGGGAAGGAAAAUGGGCAUGCCUGAUUCAAGUGAAUGAUUGCAAUGUACCAUAGCACUUUUGUCUUUUGUUCCUUUUCUGCAUGUAUACUUGGUUGGGUUGCUUUUGUUCUGUAUUUGUUCUUAAUCUUUUAAUGUAUAAAAGUUGACUCUUAAGCUUAAAGAAAUCAUUUAUUUAGCCAACUCAGAGUUCUUUUAUUCUAAUUUAAAUUUUUUGUUUUAUGAAGUUGGUCUAGUGUAUUUGAUGGAUUUUAAGAGGACUCUAUUUCAUGGUUUCUAUUAUAACUUUAUAUUGGUUAUAGUCAGUUAAGAAUUUAAUCUGUCUCUUGCAUUUUAUUAGCAAACUGUGUGAAUUAUCCUCACAAUAUGCAGGCUUGCUUCUGUCUGGUCAGUUAUUUCUCUUAGGAAGUAAAACACCUCUUGAGAACUUGGUCAAUUGCUUUUUUAUUUUUAGUCUACAUUUUUUAGUAAUAACAUUAUAAAAACUUCAAUGGAAGAUAUAGUAUUUAUUACAUUCUCUUGAGCCUAAACUCUCUUGAGUGCAUUUAUUUAUUGGAUUUAUAUACUACUUUCUCAUGCAAUAGUUAGAUUUAUAUUUCAGUCAGUUUUCUAUUUUCACACAUUAUGUUAGAAAUACACAUUGCCUUAAUUAAAAUGACACCACAAGGUGGCUAUGCCUUUUUUGGAGGACAAUGUUCUUUCUUUAUUGCUUAGAAUAACCCAAGAAGUUACUGAUAAAUCAGAUAAAAACACACAUUUACUACAUUAUAUUAUUGGUUUAUCUGAC